GUCCACGCCGUAAACGAUGGGCACUAGAUGCCGGGCCUAUAGACGGGUUCGGUGUCGCAGCUAACGCAUUAAGUGCCCCGCCUGGGGAGUACGGCCGCAAGGCUGAAACUCAAAGGAAUUGACGGGGGCCCGCACAAGCGGUGGAGCAUGUGGUUUAAUUCGAAGCAACGCGAAGAACCUUACCUAGGCUUGACAUACUGGUGAAACUCCCUGGAAACAGGGAGCCUCCUUCGGGACACCAGUACAGGUGCUGCAUGGCUGUCGU
This 265-nucleotide ribosomal RNA is filed under the name uncultured bacterium. RNAcentral's name for it is "partial 16S ribosomal RNA". It matches the Rfam family "Bacterial small subunit ribosomal RNA", at positions 793 to 1055 of the family's 1533-position model. The record is from RNAcentral.